This 465-nucleotide ribosomal RNA is filed under the name Vreelandella stevensii. RNAcentral describes it as "partial 16S ribosomal RNA". It matches the Rfam family "Bacterial small subunit ribosomal RNA", at positions 338 to 795 of the family's 1533-position model. The record is from RNAcentral. Lineage: Bacteria; Pseudomonadati; Pseudomonadota; Gammaproteobacteria; Oceanospirillales; Halomonadaceae.
CCUACGGGUGGCAGCAGUGGGGAAUAUUGGACAAUGGGAGGAACCCUGAUCCAGCCAUGCCGCGUGUGUGAAGAAGGCCCUCGGGUUGUAAAGCACUUUCAGUGAGGAAGAACGCCUGGUGGUUAAUACCCAUCAGGAAAGACAUCACUCACAGAAGAAGCACCGGCUAACUCCGUGCCAGCAGCCGCGGUAAUACGGAGGGUGCGAGCGUUAAUCGGAAUUACUGGGCGUAAAGCGCGCGUAGGUGGCUUGAUAAGCCGGUUGUGAAAGCCCCGGGCUCAACCGGGGAACGGCAUCCGGAACUGUCAAGCUAGAGUGCAGGAGAGGAAGGUAGAAUUCCCGGUGUAGCGGUGAAAUGCGUAGAGAUCGGGAGGAAUACCAGUGGCGAAGGCGGCCUUCUGGACUGACACUGACACUGAGGUGCGAAAGCGUGGGUAGCAAACAGGAUUAGAUACCCGUGUAGUC